CCCGUCACAUCACGAAAGUGGAUUGUACUAGAAGUCUGCAUGCUAACCGCAAGGAGGCAGCGGCCCAAGGUACGAUUCAUGAUUGGGGUG
Molecule: ribosomal RNA, 90 nt
Filed under: uncultured bacterium
Lineage: Bacteria
Description: partial 16S ribosomal RNA
Rfam family: Bacterial small subunit ribosomal RNA
Source: RNAcentral